UCCGAUUUGUCACCGGCAGUCUCCCAUGAGUCCCCGACAUUACUCGCUGGCAACAUGGGACAGGGGUUGCGCUCGUUAAUGGACUUAACCAAACACUUCACAGCACGAGCUGACGACAGCCAUGCAGCACCUGUGCACGUUGUACCCUUGCGGGCCUUAUCGCUGUUUCCAACGACUAAUCCGUGCAUGUCAAACCCAGGUAAGGUUCUUCGCGUUGCUUCGAAUUAAGCAACAUGCUCCACCGCUUGUGUGAGCCCCCGUCAAUUUCUUUGAGUUUUAGCCUUGCGACCGUACUCCCCAGGCGGCGCACUUAGCAAUUUCUCUACGACCAAUACGUGGUGAAACCCGCAUCGAUCUAGUGCGCAUCGUUUAGGGCGUGGACUAC
This 385-nucleotide unclassified non-coding RNA is filed under the name uncultured Phycisphaeraceae bacterium. RNAcentral's name for it is "contains 16S-23S intergenic spacer region". Lineage: Bacteria; Pseudomonadati; Planctomycetota; Phycisphaerae; Phycisphaerales; Phycisphaeraceae. The record is from RNAcentral.